AGAGCGCAGAGCCAGCCGAAGGCGCCGCGCCGGCUCGGGCUCCGCCGCCGACACCCGGCUGCUGAGGUCGCCGCGAGGGUUCGGGGACGCCUGCUCACUGUGUGGCCUUCUCCCGGCCAGCUGUGCAGGCGGCUGGACCAGCAGCAGCGGCGAGGACUCGAGCGCGGGCUGCAGCAGCGACACCAUGGACCUGUCCUUUAUGGCCGCACAGCUGCCCAUGAUGGGAGGCGCCUUCAUGGACUCGCCCAACGAGGACUUCAGCACUGAGUACUCCCUCUUCAACUCCUCCAACAACGUCCACGCCGCCUCCAACGGCCAGGGCCAGCCGGAGGAGCCCCCGAGGUCCUCCAACGACGCCGUCCUGCUCUGGAUCGCCAUCAUAGCGACGCUGGGGAACAUCGUGGUGGUGGGGGUGGUGUAUGCCUUCACCUUCUGAGCCGAGGGAGCUCCGGGACGGCUCACCCCGCCUCGGGCUCACAGCCGGGCGCGGUCACCUUGGCCCCUGGCCGCACCCACGUUCUAGAACCAGGCGUCCUGACCCAGGCACACCGCCCCUCCAAGGGGAGCCGCCAUGCGUCUGGAUGUUCCCCCAGCAGCCCUGAUCUCAGAUCCUCCACGCUGUGGUCCAGCUGAUCCAGACGAUAAGGGGUCACGGGUUUCCAGCUCCUGGAGACAUGAGGGGGCCAAGCCUUGGAGGAGCAGAGUGGGGAGUUCUUGAAAGUGCAUUCCAAGGACAUGCGGCUGGAGGGAACGGCCAGUUUGGUUUGAUGACACGGAUAUGGUUGGAUGAUCAGUUGCUGGAAGACAGCGGUCACCGCUGUGUCUUCUUUUGAUGCAGACUUCUCACACCUGAGCGUGAGGGUGCGUGCAGCCCUCCAAACUGGAGUGUGCUUGCCCCCCGUCUGGUGUCCUGAUCAGCCCCUCGGAAUAUUGGUGGCAGUCCCUUGAAGGGACCUAGAACAUUCUUCACUUGACUUAGAAAUGGCAACGUUGUUAUCAGACACCUGACCCUUUGUGAAACCCAAGGAUGAGGGGUUACUGGUGACGUGGAUUUUGGGGGUGGUGGCAGCAGUGGUUUUUAUCUGUGGGGUGGACACUCUUCUUUUGAAAGAGAGCAGAAGGUUACCUUGAAAAAUUAGAUCUGCCAAGCCGAUACCUCUCUGGCCACCUGCCGAAGAUGCUCUUUCUUCUCUGAGAAAUCACAGAGCUUUAGAGAUGAAGGAGGCAUGUGUGCACCUCGUUGUUUGGCAGGGAGAGGAGGAGGGGCAGGGCUGCCUGUGGUCCCAGGCACAUUAAGGCAGGGAUCAGAGUGGGAGGGAUAUUUUCUGCCUGUCCUCUCUCAGGGCUGCCUGUGCCCCAGCUAAGCGCUGUCUGGAUCAGAUUCCUGGCUCUCAGCUGCCUUGAGGAGCCUAUCCAGAGGGUCCUGAAGCUGUGAGCAGGGUGGGCGGGGCGCUAAGACACCCUCAUGCUAGACUCAGUUUGGCUACUGUAUGUUCUUGCAGGGGUGAGUCGGUUUUCUGACUCGCUUGGAAGUCAGUGGCUGGGGGGCUGCAAAUCUGGGAGCCGCCUCACUGUUGAGACCAGAGCAGGUUGGGAUGUGCCAGGGCCAGGGUGGGGGCAGAGGAGGGGGAGUGGGCAGGAUCAGAACAGGCUCACUUCUCAUCCAUCCUCAGGCAAGUUCAGGGCCCAGAGCCCCGCUUCUUGAGACAGCCCUCCCUGUGCCCCCAAGGGCGCCAGGAGCUCAGACAUGGGCUCGCUUGCCCACAGGCCAGGCGCGGGUUUUUCCCUGGCUUCCUCCCUGCGCUGCACAAAAGAAAAGAGAUGGCAGAGUUCCCGCGGUGGCUCACUAGGUUAAGAACCCACCUAGUAUCCCUGAGGAUGUGGGUUUAAUCCCUGGCCUCGCUCAGUGGGUUAAGCAUUCAGCUUUGCUUCAGGCUGUGGUGUAGGUCACAGAUGUGGCUCAGAUCUGGCGUUGCUGUGACUGCGGCCCAGGCCAGCAGCCGCAGCUCCAAUUCCACCCCACCCCAGCCUGGAAACUUCCAUAAGCCUCGGGUGUCACCGUAAAAAGAAAAAAGAAAAAAGAAAUAAAAUAGAUGGCACGAACUCCCUCUCUGUAGCUGACAAAGUUAAAAGACUGGUAAAGAAAGCCUAAUGCAUAUUCGGAGACAGUGGCCAAAAGGCUGAAUUUCUCCCUGUGGCCUCAGGAGAAAUGAGUGUCCUUGUUGACAGGCAAAGGGACAUCUGAAUUGUCCAGAGGCAGCGACUCGUCCCUGGAAGCCUGGCGCUGAGCUGCUGUGAUAACAGGAUUAUCAGCCUGACCUCCAGACAGCACUGGCAAAGGCUGCCAGCUCCUCUGGGCCGCAUCUGUCACUGCCGCCUAUGUCCCUCUGCACACGCCUCAGCCCCAGGAGCAGUCAUAAGCAUAGAGAGCUAGCGUGACCUCUGCGGAGCACAAGGAGGGAUGUGGCCCCCUCUUCCUGGACUCCUUCUGGAAUCACUAAUGGGCCCUGCUGUCUGCAGGCGGGACAGGGUGGUGGCCGUGGCGAGCAUGGUCAGGUGUUUUAGGGACCUUCUUGUCCAAACGUGCCCUCACGGGGAUCUCAGUGACCUGCUCAAAGUCCCUCCAGCCCCAGCUCCAGUGGUUUCUUUAACUCGUUCCCCAGUCGCUCAAGGAACAGGAUCACAGGGCACGUUAGGUUUCCAGCGGGCGUGAGCCGCCCCCUCCCUCCUGCCCAAGUUGGGGUUCUGUCCUGGCUGUUCAGUGAAGGCCACGAGAGCGGACCUCCUCGCUGGAGUCUUGUGUCCAAGCCCUGUGCCAGGUUUACUCCUUCCAAGUUCAGAGCACCUUUGCUCCAAGACACAGGUCAAGAGCCAGAAGCUUGGAGCAUCGGAAUAACUUGGCCGAGGCCACACAGCGCCAACGUGAUGCGCAGGUUGAACCUGAGCCUUACAGUUCUGAAGCCAGGCUCUUUCAGGAACACGUUCUGCCUUCAGUGGUUGGGUGGCAUUUCCAGGGCACACUGAAACCAGGCCCUGAGUCUACAGAGGCCGUUUCUCAAGGUCCCCUGUCCUGGUGUGGCCUGGGUCAGCUCUGGCUUCUGCAGGUGGAAGUCUCUGACAGCCUUUGGGGGGGAGGGGUGUUGCUCAUCCCCCUCCCUGCCCAGGCUUCAGGGGUGGGGGUUCUUGUGGCCUGUCCCCCCCCCCAAAGUUGAACACAAGCCUCUUUGCAUGGCCAGAGAAGUUUCCAGAGACCAGAUUUCUCAGGACACAUGCAGAAGGGUCCUGGAGCCCCACAGAGGGGCCUCCACGAGGCAUGAGGUUCAUGCAGCCAGAGUAGAUGACAGCCCUGGGAUGGCCUGUGUUGCAGGCUGGGCCCCCGCCCUGGCUUCUGGUCUUGCGCCGAGCCCCAGGGUGCUCCCGAGCUGGCCGGGAUGAAUGCUGCUGUCUCAGACCCCAGCCUGGGGCACCGAUGUGGCUUCUCCUGGGUGGGGCUGGCCCCUGAGCCCACCUUGGCUUGAUGAGCUGGGGCUGUAGAAGGAGGGGCUUGCCUCUUUAGCAUCUGCUCCUCAGAGAAGGGGUCCUACAUUUGCUGGAACGUUCCCUGUCCUUGCUGCUCUGCACGCCCCUCCAUUGCCCCUCUGCAAACCGUGAUCCCGCACCUGUGUGUUCACUUGCUUUAUGAGGUUAGGAGCUGCGGUCCCAGGGGCCUUGGAGGAGUGGCCAGGCCAGACGACACUUCAGCUGGUGGUGUCCCAAGGGGAUUCUGCCUCUAGAGGUACCUCGAGAGAUCAGCACUCUGCAGGGUCCUUCUCUGUGGUUCCUGCCCCUCCCCUUUUCCAAGGGAUCAAGGUCAGGAAGCAAAUGAGAUUCCCUGGUCCCCAUCUCCCUCCCACCCCCCACCCAGAGAAAGAUGCUUUUAUGUCCUUUCAGGCGUUCCCCAGGAGCCGAGGAAGAAAGGCAGGGAAGACAGGCUAGGACCACUUGGCUGGAGAAACAACAGGCCAUUUUCCAGCUGGAUCUAAAUGAAAGAUUUGGCAGCCUGCCAGCCCACAGCAUCCGCCAGAAUCCCUCCCUGGGGACUGGCGAGACUCAGCCGCUAUCUGCAGUGCCGCCUGCGCCUUCCAGACGAAGGGUCCUCCCCUCCUCCCUGAGCUUGACCUUCCCGCUGUUAUUAGCACAAGUGACUUCUGAGAUUAGACUUUGAGCAUUUUCUUUCCCUUUUUUGUGGGGGAGGGGGGAGCAGGGACACGGGCCAGGGACAAAGCAGUGCAAACCUUUGCGAAUAAAGGGAGGAAAGGCCCCCUGCCACCGCCCCUGAGAGAGAAAACAAAACGGCAGUUACAAUGGAGUGGUCAAAAGUACCCAAAAUUGGAGUUCCCGUUGUGGCUCAGCAGGUUAAAAACCCAAUGUAGAGUCCAUGAAGAGGCAGGUUCAAUCCCUGGCCUCGCUCAGUGGGUUAAGGAGCCAGCAUUGCUGAGAGCCCUGUGGGGUAGGUCGCAGGUGUGGCUCAGAUCUGGAGUUGCUGUGGCUGUGGCGUAGGCUGGCAGCUGCCCCUCUGAUUCAAACCACAGCCCAGGAACCCCCAUAUGCCACAGGUGCAGCUGUAAAAAGAAACAGGGAAAAAAUACCUACAAUUGACUACAUAAAUUUUGGAAUAUAAUUCUGCAUUGUUUGUACUGAGUCACGGUAAAAGUCAUACAUUUUUGGUAAAGAUAGAUCAUAAAAGCAGAGAAAGCCCUAGGGAGGCUGGAAGAGGCUACACCCUUCCGGGGGGUGGGGGGGGGGCAGUAGCUGGCUCCUGCCCUUUGAGCAUCGUGCAGGCUCGCACCUGCCCAGACCUCUCCAACCAAGCCUUUGACGAGGUCCAUUCUCCACUCCUGGCUUCUUGUGCAACCUGUCUUGCUGCCUUCCGGGAGGAGGGUUGAGACUCGUGCUGGCUUGGGAAUAAAUCCUGCCAGUCAGAGGAGGCACAUUUGCAAGGAAUUCAUGUCCCACUGCUGCCAGGGAACUCCAGAGCCUUCCUUCCACACCAAGCCCCCCCCCCACGUUGCUGAGCAGCCCCAGGGGCCCCCGAGUCUGUCUCCUCAGCCAUCUGACAAACUGGACAACCACCAAAUGUACAGUCAUAGCGUUGUCCCAGCAAUCCAGAUAGUUCUGCCUGGGGCCCUGGAAACUGGCAGGAAGGGCCCUUCCAAAUGUUUAUACUUGAGGAGUUCCCAUCGUGGCUCAGUGGUAACAAACCCAACUCGUAUCCAUGAGGAUGCAGGUUCAAUCCCUGGCCUUGCUCAGCGGGUUAAGGAUCUGGCACUGCUAUGGCUGUGGUGUAGGUUGGCAGCUCAGCUCAGAUUCAACCCCUAGCCUGGGAAAUUCCGUAUGCUGCAGGUGUGGCCCUAAAAAAAAAAAAAAAAAAAAAAAAAA
This 5418-nucleotide long non-coding RNA is filed under the name Sus scrofa (pig). RNAcentral describes it as "lncRNA (ENSSSCG00065056884.1)". The record is from RNAcentral. Lineage: Eukaryota; Metazoa; Chordata; Mammalia; Artiodactyla; Suidae.